Molecule: long non-coding RNA, 2918 nt
Organism: Sebastes umbrosus (honeycomb rockfish)
Lineage: Eukaryota; Metazoa; Chordata; Actinopteri; Perciformes; Sebastidae
Exons: 2
Source: RefSeq, a predicted model, not a curated record
AUGUAUACGGAAUAAAAAAGUGAAACCACCCCUUGUGGUCAUUACAUAAUACAGUACUGUACGCUUUGUAAGGUAACAGAAGAAAACACAAACUAUUUUGUAAGUAAACGUCCAUCUUUCCAUUAUCUAUCUGGUCUUGAUACAGUGCCCAGAUGUCCUUUACUCUUGCCACAUCCCUCAGCUUCUCCUGAGGGUAAUCUAUGUAAUCUUUGCAGGAUUUUCUGGGUAUCCUCCCAGUUGGGCACGCCCAGCAUACCUCAACAGGAAAGUACCCAGAAGGCAUCUUGACCAGACUCCCAACCCACAUCAACUUUCAGUGCAAAGAAGUAGUUGAUAUACUAUGAGAUCCUACCAGAUGUCUGAGCUGGGGGCAAUCUACUCCCAUCAUCGGACCCAUGGCCUCAGACUGGGAGUUGCUGACUUUGAUCCGAAGUACUUCACACUUCAAACUCCUCCAGUGUGAAAUGGGGUCAAAGUCUGAUGAUACUGCAAAUACUUUGGUCAUGCGGACAAAUUAUGUACAUCAGUCGUUGAACCCGCACAGUCUUUGGUGAAUGUGUACGUUUUUGCACCGUCAUCUUGGUGUGAAUUACAGAGUCACUUUAAACUAGAUUGUUUUAGAAACAUGCAGGAUUAAGGACUAUUUGAACACUGGAUGUACAUGUCCUGCUACUGAACGCUGCUAAGCCAUUGGUUGAUACAAUUUGCUGUUUGUUUUACGUGUGCUUGUGUGUGCUUUUAUGGGAACAUUUUAUGCUGCCAUCUUGGCCAGGGCUCCCUGUAAACCUCAAUGGUAUUAUCCUGGAAAAUAAAGGUUAAACAAAAAAAAAUCAAAAUGAAAAUCACAAACAAGUGACAAGGCACAACCUUGAUUAAGUCCAAUAUGUCAAUAACACACUCACUGUUGAUAAUACAGAUAGAUCCAACCCGGUUGGCUCGUAACAUCGGCCCUGGCAUCCCAUAUUCCUGCAGUACUUCCCACAAGAUACCACAAGUCACACAGACUGGAUGGGCAAACUCUCAUGACGCCUCGAGAGCAAGGAUUAAGAGCAGGUGCACUGUUUUAUGACCAGAAUGCUGCUACCAUAAUGGGUAAGGAAAGGGGCCGGCACCAAAGAUCCUAGAGGGUGCAUCUUGGCACAUUUCCUGGAGAGGCUAAGGACUGUGAUAAUAAUCUGAUGUCCCCUUUAUAAAAAAAUAGGACUCAAAACCCCACCUCAGAGUCCAUAGGCACUGUUCCCAAAUACAUUUUGAGUUUGUACCUGUUUCCACAGACAUUAACCCAUUUUGCCAGAACUUAGAUGUUCAGUAAUGUGGGGAAGUUUUGAGUUGGUGCCAUUUGUUGAGGGCAAUGCCAGCUGGGAUUUGGUGAUGGCCAUCAAAUUGAGACUUUGCCCACAUAGCAAAAAUCUCAGCAACAAAAACAGUGCAGGAUAAAAGGAAUAAACAAACAACAAAGCUAGACAUUCAGAAACAUUGUCUGACACACCUAUCUGAACCAAAGCCAGAUUUAUUGUUUGAUUUCAUGUUUUGACUAGAAUCCAAACCAUGCUGAUUCUGCAGACCAUGAGCCAGCAGCAGUCAAAGCGGUAUGUACAAAUAACAGAUGAGACAGAGCACUAAUGCCGUGAGGGAAAAUAGAGGUGGAUUAGAAAUAGUGUGACAGACAGUGAACAGAUAUCAGUGUCAGGGCUCUGGUCAGGAUUUAGUGACAAGCUGGCAGCAAGGCUGCGGAUGUACUGCUGGAGUGAUGUAUUUCGACACGGGUCAGUUGGAAACGUGACAAGGUGAAGCAGAGCCAGUGAUGAGUUAGAGCUGGAGAAUAUUCAGCUCCAAAUAAAGACACAAAGGAGGGAAAGAGAAGAGAUGACAGUGCAGUAGAAAGGAGAGGUAAUGGAGGAGUUUGUGCUCCUACCUUUCUUGACUUUCUUAGAUGGCUGUUUCUUCUUGAUGAACUUGGUUGCCUCCUGUGGAAGUUCCAGCUCCUCCCCGUCACCAGCCACCUCUGCAAUGGGCUCAACACCUCCUAAGUGACAGACUCACCGGGAGCAGCCAGGUUCUGGACCUGGAUAGGGACAGGGACGUUGGCCUCCGAGGCCAGGGUGAGGCGGCCUCCCUUGCUGAUGCGAUCGCACAUCAGGGUGAUGUGCUUCUUGAGGCGGGCGGUGUCUCGUGGCAGGCCCAGCACAGGGCCUCCGUGCUGGGCCAGAGAUGUGGCCUGGUCCUUGGGGCUCCGCGAAAGGCAGCUCCGCAGGAGGUGAGAGACGGCGGCGUCGCAGCUCUCCUCCCAGCCCUGAGGAGACAGGAGGAGACAUGAUAACAUUUGAUUAUGUUGUUGAGUUUUCUUUCCUUAUCGUACAUUUAUGUGUCAAUAAAUUGUAUAAACAUUUCUGUGUGAAUGGUGUAAAAGGAAAUGACACUUUACAACCACAAACUAAAGACCUAGGGCCUUCAGAGGAUGGAUGGCUUUCCUAGGUAGAUUGACAAUAAGGGGGUUUCUGAGCAGUUUACACAACAGAAGUGCUCGCCAUCCAAUCGCCAAAAAACACAAUUCUUGCAGAAUUUUCCAAAUGUCCAAAAGUUUUUGAAACCAAAUCACAGCAUGGCUUUUUCUAUGGUGUUCCUCCAUGUCUUGGUUUCUUAAUGUGGUAUUUUGGAGGGAUUAUUGAUCAUGUUUUCUCAAUUCUCGAAUGGUAAAAAAAAUGUUAAAUUUAGCACCAAAUCUGGGUAACAAAUGGUGCCAAUCACUGAAGUUGAAGUGUAUUUUCUACAAAAUAGCCAUAUUUCAUGGUUUAAAUUCACACUUGUGUAAACAAAUGCACCAAAACUUGUCUCAGAUGUUUAGGUUCAUGUGUACAUGUCAGUUUGGGAGAUAGUUUGUGUUGAUAAGAUGAAUAUAAAUGAAGUUACAAGCAAAA